Molecule: ribosomal RNA, 253 nt
Filed under: uncultured bacterium
Lineage: Bacteria
Description: partial 16S ribosomal RNA
Rfam family: Bacterial small subunit ribosomal RNA
Source: RNAcentral
UACAGAGGGUGCGAGCGUUAAUCGGAAUUACUGGGCGUAAAGCGCACGUAGGCGGCGACGUAAGGCGGGUGUGAAAGCCCCGGGCUCAACCUGGGAAUUGCAUUCGAGACUGCAUUGCUGGAGUACGGAAGAGGAAGGCGGAAUUCCCGGUGUAGCGGUGAAAUGCGUAGAUAUCGGGAGGAACAUCAGUGGCGAAGGCGGCCUUCUGGUCCAGUACUGACACUCAAGUGCGAAAGCGUGGGGAGCAAACAGG